Molecule: ribosomal RNA, 651 nt
Filed under: Ehrlichia canis
Lineage: Bacteria; Pseudomonadati; Pseudomonadota; Alphaproteobacteria; Rickettsiales; Anaplasmataceae
Description: bacterial SSU rRNA
Rfam family: Bacterial small subunit ribosomal RNA
Source: RNAcentral
AUGAGUGCUAAAUGUGAGGAUUUUAUCUUUGUAUUGUAGCUAACGCGUUAAGCACUCCGCCUGGGGACUACGGUCGCAAGACUAAAACUCAAAGGAAUUGACGGGGACCCGCACAAGCGGUGGAGCAUGUGGUUUAAUUCGAUGCUACGCGAAAAACCUUACCACUUUUUGACAUGAAGGUCGUAUCCCUCCUAACAGGGGGAGUCAGUUCGGCUGGACCUUACACAGGUGCUGCAUGGUUGUCGUCAGCUCGUGUCGUGAGAUGUUGGGUUAAGUCCCGCAACGAGCGCAACCCUCAUUCUUAGUUACCAACAGGUAAUGCUGGGCACUCUAAGGAAACUGCCAGUGAUAAACUGGAGGAAGGUGGGGAUGAUGUCAAAUCAGCACGGCCCUUAUAGGGUGGGCUACACACGUGCUACAAUGGCAACUACAAUAGGUUGCGAGACCGCAAGGUUUAGCUAAUCCAUAAAAGUUGUCUCAGUUCGGAUUGUUCUCUGAAACUCGAGAGCAUGAAGUCGGAAUCGCUAGUAAUCGUGGAUCAUCACGCCACGGUGAAUACGUUCUCGGGUCUUGUACACACUGCCCGUCACGCCAUGGGAAUUGGCUUAACUCGAAGCUGGUGUGCUAACCGCAAGGAAGCAGCCAUUUAAG